UUCCAGAUCAAAGCUGGAAUGGCUACCCACUACACAUUUCCUUCCUUAGACUAGCUUUCUGGCCAUGGUGAAAAUGAGGCGGACGUCAUGCUGGAGCACAGGAACACAGCACAAGGUUGAUUACUUCUAGCAGAAUGCUGGCAAGGGAGAAGACAGAGGAAGGAAAAAAAAAUAUCUCAUCAGGUCUCAGAUUCAUCAGUCUUGGAAGCUUUGUGUUAUUCAAGCAUUCUAAGAGUAGCCAAGAAUCCACACAUCUCUACAGCAUCACAGAAAAUAAACGUAAGAGGGAGGUGUGGCACAUAAUACUUCCUUUUCUUUUCAUUUUGAGAAAUCAGGUUAGAUACAAG
Peromyscus eremicus (cactus mouse) is the source of this 347-nucleotide long non-coding RNA. RefSeq lists it as uncharacterized. The transcript is spliced from 3 exons. The record is from RefSeq and is a predicted model, not a curated record. NCBI's taxonomy places the organism in Eukaryota, Metazoa, Chordata, Mammalia, Rodentia, Cricetidae.